GUGAGUAACACGUGGGCAAUCUGCCCUGCACUUCGGGAUAAGCCUGGGAAACUGGGUCUAAUACCGGAUAGGACCUCAAGACGCAUGUCUUCUGGUGGAAAGCUUUUGCGGUGUGGGAUGGGCCCGCGGCCUAUCAGCUUGUUGGUGGGGUGACGGCCUACCAAGGCGACGACGGGUAGCCGGCCUGAGAGGGUGUCCGGCCACACUGGGACUGAGAUACGGCCCAGACUCCUACGGGAGGCAGCAGUGGGGAAUAUUGCACAAUGGGCGCAAGCCUGAUGCAGCGACGCCGCGUGGGGGAUGACGGCCUUCGGGUUGUAAACCUCUUUCACCAUCGACGAAGGUCCGGGUUUUCUCGGAUUGACGGUAGGUGGAGAAGAAGCACCGGCCAACUACGUGCCAGCAGCCGCGGUGAUACGUAGGGUGCGAGCGUUGUCCGGAAUUACUGGGCGUAAAGAGCUCGUAGGUGGUUUGUCGCGUUGUUCGUGAAAUCUCACGGCUUAACUGUGAGCGUGCGGGCGAUACGGGCAGACUAGAGUACUGCAGGGGAGACUGGAAUUCCUGGUGUAGCGGUGGAAUGCGCAGAUAUCAGGAGGAACACCGGUGGCGAAGGCGGGUCUCUGGGCAGUAACUGACGCUGAGGAGCGAAAGCGUGGGGAGCGAACAGGAUUAGAUACCCUGGUAGUCCACGCCGUAAACGGUGGGUACUAGGUGUGGGUUUCCUUCCUUGGGAUCCGUGCCGUAGCUAACGCAUUAAG
This 758-nucleotide ribosomal RNA is filed under the name uncultured Mycobacteriaceae bacterium. RNAcentral's name for it is "SSU rRNA". It matches the Rfam family "Bacterial small subunit ribosomal RNA", at positions 106 to 864 of the family's 1533-position model. Lineage: Bacteria; Bacillati; Actinomycetota; Actinomycetes; Mycobacteriales; Mycobacteriaceae. The record is from RNAcentral.